Molecule: unclassified non-coding RNA, 258 nt
Filed under: Hevea brasiliensis (rubber tree)
Lineage: Eukaryota; Viridiplantae; Streptophyta; Magnoliopsida; Malpighiales; Euphorbiaceae
Source: RNAcentral
AAAAAAUGCCUCCGCUGAGCGAUGAGGGAGCCGAUAACGGUGUUGUAUUCGGAGACGUUGUUGGCGUAGUUCCGGCGCUCGUACUCCUUUGCGUCGACGGAGAAGGGGCGGGACUGUGUGAGUCGGGCGAGAGAUCGGCAUUGGCGAGCUGAGAAUCUCUGCAGGAGGUUCAUGGCAGGCGCCGGGUAGAGCUCUGGUGGUGUUUGAUGGAAUGACUGAGAGAACAGCUGAUGGAAUUGGGAGUGAAGGGAGAGGUGU